Alligator mississippiensis (American alligator) is the source of this 4807-nucleotide RNA transcript. It is a transcript of the gene named centrin 3, with no coding region annotated. The transcript is spliced from 11 exons. Lineage: Eukaryota; Metazoa; Chordata; Crocodylia; Alligatoridae. The record is from RefSeq and is a predicted model, not a curated record.
GUUGCGUUUCCAAGGGGAAGCCGGAGCGGCGUUGCUGGGCCCGAGUCCCGGCGGCGGCGGCGGCGGGGGAAGCCAGCGAGGCCCGGCCCGGUCUGGUGUGGCCGGCAGCGGGGGCGGGACCAUGAGCUUGGCCUUGAGGAACGAACUUGCAGUAGACAAAACUAAAAGGAAGAAAAGAAGAGAACUGACUGAAGAGCAGAAGCAGGAAAUUAAAGAUGCUUUUGAACUGUUUGAUGCAGACAAAGAUAAAGCAAUAGAUUAUCACGAAUUAAAGGUGGCAAUGAGAGCCUUGGGUUUUGAUGUAAAAAAGGCUGAUGUGCUAAAAAUACUUAAAGAUUAUGAUCGAGAAGCAACAGGAAAAAUCACAUUUGAAGAUUUUAAUGAAGUUGUGACAGACUGGAUAUUGGACAGAGAUCCACAAGAAGAGAUACUCAAAGCAUUCAAAUUAUUUGAUGAUGAUGAUUCAGGUAAAAUAAGCCUGCGAAACCUACGACGUGUUGCUAGAGAACUUGGUGAAAACAUGACAGAUGAGGAACUGCGGGCUAUGAUUGAAGAAUUUGAUAAAGAUGGAGAUGGAGAAAACAGAGGCAUCAAAUGCAGCCUUUUCCUCCACCCAGUUCCAUAGUGCUGACAUUAUCUGGUGAAUGGUGUGUCGGAUGAGCAACUCUGAUUCAACUGCUAUCCUUGUGGCUAUGCUCCAGGUCGCAGAGAUUCUGUGUUGCACAGACUCGUGGUCAAACUGAAAAAAAAAAUGUCACACCAUACUUCUUACUCCAGGGUUACCACCCUUGUAGGUUUGGAAAAUCUUUGUUCACUUCAUUAUAAGACACUUUUGUAUACCUUCUAAACUGGAUUCUGGCAGCAAAGAGGAACAGAUUACAUAUUGUGAUACAGCAGAAAGGUCAUCAUUCAACUCUAGAAGCUGUUAGAAACCUGAGUAAGGAAAUAUAUUUCUCUAAGUCAGCAAAGGCUGACGGAUCAAUACCUGGUAGUGUCUCUGCUAGAAGAAACCUUGAAGCAACUUUGCUGCAUCACUGUAUUGUUUGGUGAUUCAACUGAAGUCACAGACUGAAAACCCAUCAUUAAAUAAAAGGAGCUGGAUAGGAAUGACUCUUAAUCAUUGCAGUUAGCUGGUGCUGUUUUAGCUACAAAUGUUCCGAAGUGUGGCUUCACCUUGUAGAGACAUGAACUCCUUCUGACAUGAACUACGAGGAGAGCUAUGUUUGCUCUGUCAUACUGCACCUUGCUGUCCUAAGAAUGUUGCAUGCUGAAAAUUCAAAUGCACGUUGAAAUCAAAAGGAAUCUUUUACAAUGACUUUCACUGACACUGGAGCACCUUGUAGGCUUUUCCAGUGAACUUUGCCCUCCUGGCUGCCCAGUAGGUCUGCUUCUAUUGGAGGACUUGGGGUGGUGUGGCCUGGUAGUUACAGAACUUCUAAAUUAUGCCCACCGUUAGAAGAUCCAAGAAAUAUCGGAAGCAUCUGUCCACAAAACUGUAAGGCCACAAUGCUGAUGUAUGUCAACACCUCUUCACGGAGCCUCCAGAUGAGUACGUAUAACAAACAGUUCUUCUCAGAUGCAGUACAUACAAAUAAUAAAUCUUCGUUAUAGGGUUAAGUGUUCUUUUAUAUGUUUAGCUCUUUCUCUGAUUGCAUCCAGUCCAGGUCUUGUUUUUAUUUCCACAGUAGAAUUUUUCAUUUCUUCCACUCUUUGACUGGGGCUUUUAGACACUAUCAUGUGUAUCCCUCAGCAGGCCUAACUGGGUUUCUUUCCUCCAGAAACCUGUAAAUAGUUUUCAGCAGCAUUCUUACAGUAUUUUUAGCAGUUGGAACAAAGAUUAGAGAAUAAGGAGUUUUAAAAUAACACAUAGCUUACAUGCAUAUUUAGUCUCAAGCAUGGAUAUAAUUUGAAUGUAAUUAUUUCUUGCUUCAUAGCCUGAAAAUAUAUUUAGGACAACAGUCAGGGAAAGAAGUACAAAAACAAAACACUGUAAGUGCAUCUUGUCUUUUGUUGCAUUUUAUCUUACGCAUAUUAACACAACCGUCUAAUGUACAAAGGCUAGUAUGUCUCACUAAAUGCAUAAACCAAAAGUGGUGAUUAGAUAAUCUCAAACUGAAGCCUGAUUAGGUUAAUACUAAAGGGAUCAGUAAUUGCUAACAUACAUACAUGCACACAUGACUGCCUACUAAAAAGAUGAACCUGAUAGAAAGAAUACUUUUAUUGUAGUGCAGUUAAUGCAAGUGCUACAUGUUAAACAAAGUACUCCAUUAGGAAACAUCAGAUAAGAGGAUAACACUGUUAAAAGAAUAAAUGGUCUCUAGUGUUUAUAAACUGCAGUCUUAAGCAAGUAUGUCAUAAAGCAAUUGUUAAUAUAACCCUUCAAAAUUAAAAAUAGUUGCUGGCUUUUUAACUUCCUAACAAAUAUAAUAAAUAUAUCUGGUGCAUAGCUUGCUGCAUACAGUAGGUAUUGUUUUAUUCAAGAAAAAAGCUCACGCAGAGUUAUCUUUAAGUGCUCAUUCUAAGACAGCAUUUUAAUUGAGAGAUGAAAAAAUAGUUUGAUAUUUUCCUGUACAUUAGAUUAUAUUAAAUCAGAAGGUUAUUUUUAUUUUCCAGUUUGUAAAUAUUGGGAGAUACCAGGAGACAGCUAUAAUGUAAUUUGUAAUAUUGAUCUUUUUAAAAGCUGUUUUUUUCUGCAUUUGGGAGAAAGCAUAUGAACCACGGCACUUUGUGGUGGGGAGUCAAACAGAAAGGAAAAUACAACGCCAGAUCUUGAAUUCUUUAUCAGGAGAAAAUUGUGCUGUGAGUAUUUACAUUAGUAUUACCCAGAACAGAACUUGGCCUUCAGUUUUCAGUGAAUCAGAACUCCCAGUACAGUCAAUGAGAGAUCUGCCUGAGUAGAUAUUUCAGGAUUUGCUCCACUGAAGUCAUGCCUUUAGAUAGGAUUUUUUGGGGGACAUGAAACAUGGUGCAAAAUAAAGGCACAUUUCCCUCUUCUACUACACACACAAACAUUGCUGCCAUAGCUCCUAUUCAAUAGCUUUGCUAGGUGAACUUGAGCAGGGAGUGAACUGGACAGAAAGGCAGAACUGAAGAACUAGCCACUCACUACAGCUCCUUUCACUAAAUACACAGUAAUCCUAUGAUAUAUUUAGCUUUGUAAAUAACUUGAUGGGAGCUGCAAUCAUUUUCUUUUUAUAAAUGUUGGAUGCAGUAUGCAUUCCUGGAGGAUGAAUGUAGAGUAGGAGGAGAUGGAAGGCUUUGAAAAGGGUCUAGGUACCAUUAAGAAGGCUAUGAGUUCAGUUAUCAAGAGAAUGCGUAAGGGAAUACUUCCUGCUGUUGACCCCAAAAUACCAUUUUUUGUAGGUGGGAAGCACAGCUCGUACAGGUCCCCUUGUCUGUUUUCUUUCCAGGAUUUCUGCCUGCAUAGUGCAGCUGCCCAGAAGAAGAACCUGAGGUCACACAAACAAAUUCAAGUUUGGGCAAAAGCAGUGUAAUCUUCCAUGGUUAGUAUUGGAGAUAGUGGACAGUUAUUCACCAGAACUUGUACUUGGAAUAAACUGAUUUUAAAGCAGUAACUGGAAAACUGUCUGAGCAACAACCUUGGGUCCCUUACAACCAGUCUGGGCAAGAUUCAUAAGUUAGAGAUAAAAAAGACUGCACAUUACCAAAGAUUGGGGUAUUUUAAUGGAUCUGAGUUUAUGCAACUCACUUCUGUAGUUUACAUUAAAAAUCCUGGAUAAACUUAUCUGUGGGAUAAAGAGGAAGCUAGAGGAAAGUGGGAACCAAUUCUGAGUUAUAUUAGUAGAGAGAAAAUAGAAAUCUUGAUGGACAGCCAGAGCCCUGAUGUGGUACAUGAAAGUCAUUUAGGGCUCCAUCCAACUCACGCUAAAGUGAAAGGAAAGAUUUCUGCUGACUACAAUGGGGAUUGGUGAAGGGCCUGACAUACUUAAUAUGAGGAGAAAAAUAAAAAGAUAUGGGAAGGAAAUCAUGUUUUUUUACACUUCUAAUUGUUAUCUGUGUGUGUUGUUUUUUUAAUGAUAUUUGGGUUUUCAAGAGAACGGGGGAUAAAAAGGAUAUAAUUUAUGUCUUUUCUCCCCCUGAAAACCUUAUUAUACAUUAUUAAGAAAUUAAAAUGGAUAAAAGAAGAAUUUUAAAUUCAAUCUUUGAAUAUUUUUGUUAUAUAUGAGAACAUGUGCAUACAUCUGUCCAUCAGUCUUUGUUAUGCGUUACACACAAACAUGACAAACAUACAUAUACAUUCUUAAACGUUUCACAUGGGUGUCAGGAACUUGUGUCCUGUCCCUUUUGGGCUUUAAUAUAGAUAUGAGGGUAUUUUUCUUUAGUUUCAUAUCUUAAAAAAAUAUUAUGUUAUCCAUUGAGGCUUGUCUGCAACUUAUCAGGAAUUAUUCAAUCAUAAUAGCCUUUAUUGAUUAAACCGACUAUUCAUUUAUUCUUUCCCCCAACGUUACCAAGGAUUUCAUCUUUAUGUAGCUGACAUGCCUCUAAAUGCAAUAUCACCAUUAUAGUUGUAUUCCAUAGCUGCUUAUUUUGAUUCAGAGUUUACAUUUAUGAAAGUCUCCUAUAAUUUUCAGAUUUCUCUACCUCAUUCUUCUCCAAAUUUCAAAACAAUUUUUUUUUUGCCACGAUCCUCCAAUAUGUGGUGAGUAUUUUUUAAUUUUAUCCAGCCAUCCUUUGUUAAUAUAAAACAGAUGUUUGCUUUUCUAACAUGUCUCUUUGCAUCUUUCUUCAUAGUUCUUGCUCCACAUUAUAUUUCAUAAAGCGCUCUUUUAUUUUAUAUUUAUAUACA